UCGAACGAUGAACCACUUCGGUGGGGAUUAGUGGCGAACGGAUGAGUAACAAGAAGGAACAGGGCUGCCCUGCACUCUGGGACAAGCCCUGGAAACGGGGUCUAAUACCGGAUACUGAUCCUCGCAGGCAUCUGCGAGGUUCGAAAGCUCCGGCGGCGCAGGAUGAGCCCGCGGCCUAUCAGCUAGUUGGUGAGGUAACGGCUCACCAAGGCGACGACGGGUAGCCGGCCUGAGAGGGCGACCGGCCACACUGGGACUGAGACACGGCCCAGACUCCUACGGGAGGCAGCAGUGGGGAAUAUUGCACAAUGGGCGAAAGCCUGAUGCACCGACGCCGCGUGAGGGAUGACGGCCUUCGAGUUGUAAACCUCUUUCAGCAGGGAAAAGCGAAAGUGACGGUACCUGCAGAAGAAGCGCCGGCUAACUACGUGCCAGCAGCCGCGGUAAUACGUAGGGCGCAUCCGUUGUCCGGAAUUAUUG
Molecule: ribosomal RNA, 480 nt
Filed under: Streptomyces rochei
Lineage: Bacteria; Bacillati; Actinomycetota; Actinomycetes; Kitasatosporales; Streptomycetaceae
Description: bacterial SSU rRNA
Rfam family: Bacterial small subunit ribosomal RNA
Source: RNAcentral